UACGUAGGGGGCAAGCGUUGUCCGGAAUCAUUGGGCGUAAAGCGCGUGUAGGCGGCCCGGUAAGUCCGCUGUGAAAGUCCAGGGCUCAACCCUGGGAUGCCGGUCGAUACUGCCGGACUAGAGUUCGGAAGAGGCGAGUGGAAUUCCCGGUGUAGCGGUGAAAUGCGCAGAUAUCGGGAGGAACACCUAUGGCGAAGGCAGCUCGCUGGGACGUUACUGACGCUGAGACGCGAAAGCGUGGGGAGCAAACAGG
This 253-nucleotide ribosomal RNA is filed under the name uncultured bacterium. RNAcentral's name for it is "partial 16S ribosomal RNA". It matches the Rfam family "Bacterial small subunit ribosomal RNA", at positions 524 to 776 of the family's 1533-position model. The record is from RNAcentral.